GGAGGGGGAUAACUACUGGAAACGGUGGCUAAUACCGCAUAACGUCGCAAGACCAAAGAGGGGGACCUUCGGGCCUCUUGCCAUCAGAUGUGCCCAGAUGGGAUUAGCUUGUUGGUGAGGUAACGGCUCACCAAGGCGACGAUCCCUAGCUGGUCUGAGAGGAUGACCAGCCACACUGGAACUGAGACACGGUCCAGACUCCUACGGGAGGCAGCAGUGGGGAAUAUUGCACAAUGGGCGCAAGCCUGAUGCAGCCAUGCCGCGUGUAUGAAGAAGGCCUUCGGGUUGUAAAGUACUU
RNAcentral lists this ribosomal RNA (298 nucleotides) under Salmonella enterica. RNAcentral's name for it is "partial 16S ribosomal RNA". It matches the Rfam family "Bacterial small subunit ribosomal RNA", at positions 135 to 435 of the family's 1533-position model. The record is from RNAcentral. Lineage: Bacteria; Pseudomonadati; Pseudomonadota; Gammaproteobacteria; Enterobacterales; Enterobacteriaceae.